This 73-nucleotide transfer RNA is filed under the name Ailuropoda melanoleuca (giant panda). It matches the Rfam family "tRNA". Rfam says of the family: Transfer RNA (tRNA) molecules are approximately 80 nucleotides in length. Their secondary structure includes four short double-helical elements and three loops (D, anti-codon, and T loops). Lineage: Eukaryota; Metazoa; Chordata; Mammalia; Carnivora; Ursidae. The record is from Rfam by way of RNAcentral.
ACUUGGCUGGCUCAGUUGGUGGAGUAUGUGACUCUUGAUCUCAGGGUUGUAGGUUUGUGCCCUGCGCUGGGUG